CAGGAAAUUGAACAGACUUAUUCAACUUCUCAAAGUUACCGGACUGAAAUCGCUUUAAUACAAUCGUAAGAAUAUUCGGCGCCUCUAAUACUGUUAGCUUCUUCUUGGCUUUCUCAUAUGAUUUACAUCUGCCACAAUUAUACUUAUUAUCCUUAUCCAGGAUUUCAGGCGCUGUAAACUGUCCAAGAGACCAUCCAUACUCCACACCUUAAGAGUAUAUUUACAUCUGCCACAAUUAUACUUAUUAUCCUUAUCCAGGAUUUCAGGCGCUGUAAACUGUCCAAGAGACCAUCCAUACUCCACACCUUAAGAGUAUGAUCACUACUGCCACUAACAAAGAAGUCCCGCUUUUUUUUGAAAAUGCAAUGGCUCCAACAACUCACAAAGGGAGAUCAAGCCUCUUGUUUUGAGAAGGAAAAUACAAGUCAUCUUUUUCAGGCCAUCGAGGAUCUUCACAUCCAGACUUCGGCAUUUGGCACAAUAGAAAAACCAUUAUUUAGAACAAGUUUUUUUUUAUAGAACAUCGAUCGUGGGUAUCAUCAUUCCUCUUCCAGUCACCACCUUUGCAUGGCCAAUGGGUAGA
This 583-nucleotide long non-coding RNA is filed under the name Lathyrus oleraceus (garden pea). Its description in RNAcentral is "Pisum sativum (pea) long non-coding RNA (PSAT_LNC022448)". Lineage: Eukaryota; Viridiplantae; Streptophyta; Magnoliopsida; Fabales; Fabaceae. The record is from RNAcentral.